GACGAACCGUGCAAACGUUGUUCGGAAUCACUGGGCUUAAAGGGCGCGUAGGCGGGUCAGCAAGUCCGGGGUGAAAUCUUUCGGCUUAACCGGAAAAGUGCCUUGGAGACUGCUGGUCUUGAGGGAGGUAGGGGCCUGCGGAACUUCUGGUGGAGCGGUGAAAUGCGUUGAUAUCAGAAGGAACGCCGGUGGCGAAAGCGGCGGGCUGGACCUCUUCUGACGCUGAGGCGCGAAAGCUAGGGGAGCAAACGGG
Molecule: ribosomal RNA, 253 nt
Filed under: uncultured bacterium
Lineage: Bacteria
Description: partial 16S ribosomal RNA
Rfam family: Bacterial small subunit ribosomal RNA
Source: RNAcentral